UUGACCUCAAAUCAAGUAGG
This 20-nucleotide ribosomal RNA is filed under the name Cystoderma clastotrichum. RNAcentral's name for it is "partial 28S ribosomal RNA". The record is from RNAcentral. Lineage: Eukaryota; Fungi; Basidiomycota; Agaricomycetes; Agaricales; Squamanitaceae. RNAcentral also lists the same sequence under 1 other name.